Cygnus olor (mute swan) is the source of this 778-nucleotide long non-coding RNA. RefSeq lists it as uncharacterized. Lineage: Eukaryota; Metazoa; Chordata; Aves; Anseriformes; Anatidae. The transcript has 7 exons. The record is from RefSeq and is a predicted model, not a curated record.
GGGGGGGCUCCCUUCUCUUUGAAGGGUCCCCUUGUGCUUGCAGAGAGGCCUGGGUGCAGGGACACCUGAAUGGAUAAAGGCUUUUCAGCCUUGAACAGCAAUGACUGCCGGGGAAUGCAAGAAGGAUCUAUGAAAUCCUGGAUGUCAUGGAGAGGACAGGAUUGUAUUUGUGGGAAGGGGAACUUGUCCACAGUCCUUGGAAAGGAGUCCAGAAAGACCUAGGUAAUAGAAGAUUAAUGAAGUGAAGACCAAACAUCAACUUAUGACAAAACUUUGGAGGAGUUUUCUUCAUUCUAUUGUUCAUGGCCCUGUGGGGAGUCAUGAAGGCCUGUACUAAUACUGGUUGACACUGAAUACUGGCAAAUAACCAGAACUGAAAAUUAGGGAAAUCUCGAAAAGCCAUCUGCACCACUCAUUUCUUCCAGCAGAUCAAGGUCCACUUUUUUCAUGUCCUAAAUGCCCUUGUCUGUGUGCCUGCAGCAUGAGGUGGCAAAGUGACUAAUAAAUGUAGGUAUCGUGUUCAUGAUGGAAGCUGCUGCGGCACAGUGCAGUGGAGUGCCUUGCCUGAAGUUGCUCUGCAAAUCCAUCACAGAGCCUGGAAUAAAAUUCACUGUAUUUGAGCGAUGUGGGAAGUGGCACAGCAGGCAGUAAUGCCUAAUGCAGAAGAAGCUGAAAAGAAAAUCCAGGAAAACCAGUUGCUACCUCAGAAAUAAAGAAUUUUAAUGGCCAUUCCUACCAGAAAUGGAGCAAAAACUUGCUACAUGCAGAUAUGGUAAGA